This is a long non-coding RNA of Nicotiana attenuata, 524 nucleotides long. RefSeq lists it as uncharacterized. NCBI's taxonomy places the organism in Eukaryota, Viridiplantae, Streptophyta, Magnoliopsida, Solanales, Solanaceae. The record is from RefSeq and is a predicted model, not a curated record. The transcript is spliced from 3 exons.
UAUCUGCUAGGCGAUACCCCCAAAACACCGAGUAUCUUCUUCUUCACUGAUACCCGCCCCCAUCUCUCUCUCUCUCAAAAUCUUCUUCUUCUUCGAUGACCUAGGUCAUCUUCUCAAAAUCUUGCUACAAACUCCGAUACCCCCAUAUAUUUCUCUUCGAUGACCUAGGGUUCGUUGUUUUCGUGAAUUUCUGAACAAAUUGGUUUUGGGGUUUUAUUCUAAUUGGUGUCAAGAAGUUGUGGCUGAAGCUUGGGUUCAUUUGUUUGGUGUCGAAAAUCGAAUUUCUGGUGCUGAAGCUAGAAGAACAGCUUCAAAUUUCUGGAGUUGAGUGCCUGAAGCUGUUGCGUAGCCUAUGCACUCCUCGACGCAUCAGAUAUUAUUAGCUGAGAGAAAGUUUAUUUCUGGUAGCCGAGGAGAAAUCAUUGCUGGUAACAUAGGGAACACUCGUUGCUGAAAAUGAAAGAAACCAACACUGCGAAUCGCAAAAAGUUGAGAUAUCCACACACUGCUGGCAAAAAAGUUUU